UCGACCGGCGCACGGGUGAGUAACGCGUAUCCAACCUGCCCAUGUCUGGGGAAUAACCCGUCGGAAGGCGGACUAACUCCCCAUGGUCUCCGAUGAGGACAUCUGAAUUGGAGUAAAGCUUCGCGGACAUGGAUGGGGAUGCGUCUGAUUAGGUAGUAGGCGGGGUAACGGCCCACCUAGCCUACGAUCAGUAGGGGUUCUGAGAGGAAGGUCCCCCACAUUGGAACUGAGACACGGUCCAAACUCCUACGGGAGGCAGCAGUGAGGAAUAUUGGUCAAUGGACGCGAGUCUGAACCAGCCAAGUAGCGUGCAGGAUGACGGCCCUAUGGGUUGUAAACUGCUUUUGCGCGGGGAUAACACCCUCCACGUGCUGGAGGUCUGCAGGUACCGCGCGAAUAAGGACCGGCUAAUUCCGUGCCAGCAGCCGCGGUAAUACGGAAGGUCCGGGCGUUAUCCGGAUUUAUUGGGUUUAAAGGGAGCGUAGGCCGUGAGGUAAGCGUGUUGUGAAAUGUAGGCGCCCAACGUCUGCACUGCAGCGCGAACUGCCCCACUUGAGUGCGCGCAACGCCGGCGGAACUCGUCGUGUAGCGGUGAAAUGCUUAGAUAUGACGAAGAACCCCGA
Molecule: ribosomal RNA, 623 nt
Filed under: uncultured Bacteroidales bacterium
Lineage: Bacteria; Pseudomonadati; Bacteroidota; Bacteroidia; Bacteroidales
Description: bacterial SSU rRNA
Rfam family: Bacterial small subunit ribosomal RNA
Source: RNAcentral